This 497-nucleotide ribosomal RNA is filed under the name uncultured bacterium. RNAcentral describes it as "partial 16S ribosomal RNA". It matches the Rfam family "Bacterial small subunit ribosomal RNA", at positions 28 to 507 of the family's 1533-position model. The record is from RNAcentral.
GAUGAACGCUGGCGGCGUGCCUAAUACAUGCAAGUCGAGCGAACGGACGAGAAGCUUGCUUCUCUGAUGUUAGCGGCGGACGGGUGAGUAACACGUGGAUAACCUACCUAUAAGACUGGGAUAACUUCGGGAAACCGGAGCUAAUACCGGAUGAUAUUUUGAACCGCAUGGUUCAAAAGUGAAAGACGGUCUUGCUGUCACUUCUAGAUGGAUCCGCGCUGCAUUAGCUAGUUGGUAAGGUAACGGCUUACCAAGGCAACGAUGCAUAGCCGACCUGAGAGGGUGAUCGGCCACACUGGAACUGAGACACGGUCCAGACUACUACGGGAGGCAGCAGUAGGGAAUCUUCCGCAAUGGGCGAAAGCCUGACGGAGCAACGCCGCGUGAGUGAUGAAGGUCUUCGGAUCGUAAAACUCUGUUAUUAGGGAAGAACAGAUGUGUAAGUAACUGUGCACAUCUUGACGGUACCUAAUCAGAAAGCCACGGCUAACUACGUG